AAGACACUAGUAAAAUAAAUAUUACAAUACCUUGUCGAGGCAUAGUUGUGGGAUAGAGCCCCGCGUGUCUUA
This 72-nucleotide transfer RNA is filed under the name Rexea antefurcata (long-finned escolar). RNAcentral describes it as "tRNA-Asp". It matches the Rfam family "tRNA". From Rfam's summary of the family: Transfer RNA (tRNA) molecules are approximately 80 nucleotides in length. Lineage: Eukaryota; Metazoa; Chordata; Actinopteri; Scombriformes; Gempylidae. The record is from RNAcentral.